GACGAACGUUGGCGGCGUGCUUAAUACAUGCAAGUCAACUGAAGCAGUGGUAGCAAUAUCGCUGUGGAGGUGGCGCACGGGUGAGUAACACGUAGGUAAUCUGCCUUCAGGUCUGGCAUAACUCCGGGGAACCGGGGCUAAUAGCAGAUGAUGCAGCGGCUCGACAUCGAGACCGUUGUUAAAUCUAUGCCGCCUGAAGAUGAGCCUGCGUCUGCUUAGCUAGUUGGCGGGGUAACGGCCCACCAAGGCAACGAUCAGUAGUGGGUCUGAGAGGAUGAUCAGCCACACUGGAACGGAGAAAAGGUCCAGACUCCUACGGGAGGCAGCAGUAAGGAACAUUGCUCAAUGGGAGAAAUCCUGAAGCAGCAACGCCGCGGGAGGGACGAAGGGCUUUUGCUUGUAAACCUCUGUAGUGAGAGAAAAAAAUCCCAAUCUUUGGGACAUGAUGGUAUCUAAAAAGUAAGCCCCGGCUAACUACGUG
Molecule: ribosomal RNA, 481 nt
Filed under: uncultured bacterium
Lineage: Bacteria
Description: partial 16S ribosomal RNA
Rfam family: Bacterial small subunit ribosomal RNA
Source: RNAcentral